AGCGAACGCUGGCGGCAGGCCUAACACAUGCAAGUCGAACGGAUCCUUCGGGAUUAGUGGCGGACGGGUGAGUAACACGUGGGAACGUGCCCUUUGGUUCGGAACAACUCAGGGAAACUUGAGCUAAUACCGGAUGUGCCCUUCGGGGGAAAGAUUUAUCGCCAUUGGAGCGGCCCGCGUCUGAUUAGCUAGUUGGUGAGGUAACGGCCCACCAAGGCGACGAUCAGUAGCUGGUCUGAGAGGAUGAUCAGCCACACUGGGACUGAGACACGGCCCAGACUCCUACGGGAGGCAGCAGUGGGGAAUCUGGCGCAAUGGGCGAAAGCCUGACGCAGCCAUGCCGCGUGAAUGAUGAAGGUCUUAGGAUUGUAAAAUUCUUUCAGCGGGGACGAUAAUGACGGUACCCGCAGAAGAAGCUCCGGCUAACUUCGU
Molecule: ribosomal RNA, 432 nt
Filed under: uncultured bacterium
Lineage: Bacteria
Description: partial 16S ribosomal RNA
Rfam family: Bacterial small subunit ribosomal RNA
Source: RNAcentral